GUCAGUGUGGCAGACUAGUGCGAUGAACUUAAAAUUCAUAUAUAAAUAUUAAUUAUUUUUCUGAAA
This 66-nucleotide transfer RNA is filed under the name Paralaevicephalus gracilipenis. RNAcentral describes it as "tRNA-Leu". Lineage: Eukaryota; Metazoa; Arthropoda; Insecta; Hemiptera; Cicadellidae. The record is from RNAcentral.